RNAcentral lists this ribosomal RNA (256 nucleotides) under uncultured bacterium. RNAcentral's name for it is "partial 16S ribosomal RNA". It matches the Rfam family "Bacterial small subunit ribosomal RNA", at positions 524 to 777 of the family's 1533-position model. The record is from RNAcentral.
GACGAACCGUGCGAACGUUGUUCGGAAUCACUGGGCUUAAAGGGCGCGUAGGCGGGUCAGCAAGUCCGGGGUGAAAUCUUUCGGCUCAACCGGAAAAGUGCCUCGGAUACUGCUGGUCUUGAGGGAGGUAGGGGUUUGUGGAACUUCUGGUGGAGCGGUGAAAUGCGUUGAUAUCAGAAGGAACGCCGGUGGCGAAAGCGACGAACUGGACCUCUUCUGACGCUGAGGCGGCGAAAAGCUAGGGGAGCAAACGGGG